GGAUGUGAGGGCAGUCUGACUGUGAAUCCACUGAUCANNNNGAUUGUAUCUAGUUGGAUGUCCCCUCCUUUUCCCAUCACUCUGCAUGCAUCCCUAGGACUGUUUCCUUGGUCAAGGGUAUACAAAUAACUGCAUUCCCCUGCUAGAAUCUCCAGACAGGCUCUCAACAAUGAUAACUGUGUAACACAAGAGUGCAGUGUUGUCUCAGGUUGGUGUCAGUUACUGGAGUCUGUAACUAUAUUCAGUAAAAU
Unclassified non-coding RNA from Cavia aperea (Brazilian guinea pig), 251 nucleotides. Its record names the gene 7SK. It matches the Rfam family "7SK RNA". From Rfam's summary of the family: 7SK was discovered as an abundant small nuclear RNA in the mid-70s but a possible function has only recently been suggested. Two independent studies have found that 7SK RNA binds the CDK9/cyclin T complex (known as elongation factor P-TEFb). NCBI's taxonomy places the organism in Eukaryota, Metazoa, Chordata, Mammalia, Rodentia, Caviidae. The record is from Ensembl.